UGGCUAUGCCCGAUCCAUUGGGACCAUCCCCGAGCUUCUACGACCUUCGGAAAUGGUGAAACCACCAAAUCUAUAAAAAAAAGUACAAGAUAUUUUUGAAUAACUUUUCUUCUGAAAGUCCUAGAGACUUGUGCAUUUCAUGAUUAAUAAAGGGUGGCCUGCCACACAACCACACCGAAUUUCAGCACGUUUCGAGCAAGCAGCGCAGAGUUAUUCCAAUUAAUCCCUAAUAUGGGUUAGGGUUGCAAUUAGGGUUAGGGUUGCAGCCAGGGUUAGGGUUAGGGUUGGGGAGGAAAUCCCAUUGAGAAUUGAAGAUUUUCUUGAAUAACUUUUGUUCUGAAGGUCAUAGAGACUUGGAAGUUGGUUCCAUCUGAACUAAUGUGGGGAUGCCCGAUCCAUUGGUACCAUCCCCGAGCUUCUGUGACCUUCGGAAGGGGUCAAACCAC
This 446-nucleotide unclassified non-coding RNA is filed under the name Hevea brasiliensis (rubber tree). The record is from RNAcentral. Lineage: Eukaryota; Viridiplantae; Streptophyta; Magnoliopsida; Malpighiales; Euphorbiaceae.